GAAGAGAGCUUUAAUUUGCCCGCAAUUAAAUGCAUGCACCGCGUAAAUAACAUUAAAGUUCACCCUGUUGACUAUCUCACUGUUUCUCAAUGUGCCUACUUGACCGUACUUGUGUACCCGUUGUACGUCAUAUUCCAUCGCCGAAUACAAGUUCCAAUACUCAAGAACAGAAGUACACAGGACGGUAAAAAAAAUCCCCGGAUGUCAUUCUUGCCCCAGUCAAAACGUCAAGGAUUCAUCAGUUGCAUCCUGUUCACUGUGCCCCAAAUUCGUUCUUGGAAAGCAAGUGAAGUACGACCUUUGCGUUCUUGGUACCGAGAAACACCCUCUGAUUGGCUGACGUUCCAGACGACCUAAGAUACCGUUCGAUGUCCUACUGCUCACCUGGGCUCACACGUUCCGACCCAGGAAAUGCAUCACGACGCAAAGCCACUGAGUAACUAAAGAUGACAGGACAGCCUCAGCCCAGGGCACGUGGCUGUUUCCAUGGCCGCAGAGAGGAGACAUGGGGCACACUCACUGGAGACCUGGAAGCAUCCGGAAGGAUGUAUCCCAGCUGUGUUUGCAGGCUCAGGCAGGUGGCCCCUCCCUACAUGAAAUGUCGCAGUCUGACCACCCUCUUGUCUUUCCCUGCUGCAGUUAGAGUGUGACGGGUUCAAGUCUCUCAGGAGGGACUCACACUUGAACCUUGUAAAUACAAUCAAGGUUCCUGCACUGUGGUAGCACCCCCUGGCUGCCAGUGUUGUAACGAGCAGAAGAAGCAAACGCUGGUGACAGUCAGAGCUGUCGGGGCUGAAUCAAACCCGCGGCAGGCCAUCUGCUGAGCCACUGAGCCAGAGGGCAAGUGAACAGCUAAUUUAGUGGAAUGAAACUGUCCCGCAUGCUACAUUAAACAAAUAUAAAGAACA
Molecule: long non-coding RNA, 908 nt
Organism: Brienomyrus brachyistius
Lineage: Eukaryota; Metazoa; Chordata; Actinopteri; Osteoglossiformes; Mormyridae
Exons: 3
Source: RefSeq, a predicted model, not a curated record